This 108-nucleotide ribosomal RNA is filed under the name Danio rerio (zebrafish). The record is from RNAcentral. Lineage: Eukaryota; Metazoa; Chordata; Actinopteri; Cypriniformes; Danionidae.
CUGACGGCAGAUAGCUCUCUGCAACUCUCACACACUGAAGCUAAGCAGGGCUGCGCCUGGUCAGUACCUGGAUGGGAGACCACAUGAGAAAGCUAGGUUGCUGCCGGA